UGGGAGCUCUGUGUGUGUCUGUGUGACCCUCAGUGACCUUUAACAGAGAGCAGGCUUAUGAGGCCUACCUGGGGAGAUGUCUGUGCCUCUGGGCCUGUCAGUGACUUAAUACAACACACAAGGCAGCUGCUCCUCCUCAGAGUCUGUCUCUUCAGGUGAGCAGACUCACCUGGCCGGACUUCUCUCUCUUCUGACAACACACUGUUGUUCCUCUUCUAGGCGUUCUUUGGGGUAGCCUUCUCGCCACCUUAUCCGAAGAAAUCAGAUGGUAUUUACAAUAGAUGCAUCUAUUGCACACACACACACACACACACACACACACACACACACACACACACACACACACACACACACACA
Molecule: long non-coding RNA, 357 nt
Organism: Gadus morhua (Atlantic cod)
Lineage: Eukaryota; Metazoa; Chordata; Actinopteri; Gadiformes; Gadidae
Exons: 2
Source: RefSeq, a predicted model, not a curated record